UAGGGAAUCUUCCGCAAUGGACGAAAGUCUGACGGAGCAACGCCGCGUGAGUGAUGAAGGCUUUCGGGUCGUAAAACUCUGUUGUUAGGGAAGAACAAGUAUGAGAGUAACUGCUCGUACCUUGACGGUACCUAACCAGAAAGCCACGGCUAACUACGUGCCAGCAGCCGCGGUAAUACGUAGGUGGCAAGCGUUAUCCGGAAUUAUUGGGCGUAAAGCGCGCGCAGGCGGUUUCUUAAGUCUGAUGUGAAAGCCCACGGCUCAACCGUGGAGGGUCAUUGGAAACUGGGGAACUUGAGUGCAGAAGAGAAAAGCGGAAUUCCACGUGUAGCGGUGAAAUGCGUAGAGAUGUGGAGGAACACCAGUGGCGAAGGCGGCUUUUUGGUCUGUAACUGACGCUGAGGCGCGAAAGCGUGGGGAGCAAACAGGAUUAGAUACCCUGGUAGUCCACGCCGUAAACGAUGAGUGCUAAGUGUUAGAGGGUUUCCGCCCUUUAGUGCUGCAGCUAACGCAUUAAGCACUCCGCCUGGGGAGUACGGUCGCAAGACUGA
Molecule: ribosomal RNA, 551 nt
Filed under: uncultured Bacillus sp.
Lineage: Bacteria; Bacillati; Bacillota; Bacilli; Caryophanales; Bacillaceae
Description: bacterial SSU rRNA
Rfam family: Bacterial small subunit ribosomal RNA
Source: RNAcentral